AGGGUUUGAUCAUGGCUCAGAACGUACGCUGGCGGCACGCCUAACACAUGCAAGUCGAACGAAGUAGUAAUACUUAGUGGCAGACGGGUGAGUAACAUGUGGGUAUCUACCCUUUGGCCUGGAAUAACACGAGGAAACUUGUGCUAAUACCGGAUAAGUCUUCACAGAGAAAGCUUUAUGCACCAUUGGAUGAGCCUGCACUUGAUUAGUUAGUUGGUAGGGUAAUGGCCUACCAAGACUUUGAUCAAUAGCUGAUUUGAGAGGAUGAUCAGCCACAUUGGGACUGAGACACGGCCCAAACUCCUACGGGAGGCAGCAGUGGGGAAUCUUGCACAAUGGAGGAAACUCUGAUGCAGCGAUGCCGCGUGAGUGAAGAAGGCCCUUGGGUUGUAAAGCUCUUUCGUCGGGGAAGAAAAUGACUGUACCCGAAUAAGAAGGUCCGGCUAACUUCGUGCCAGCAGCCGCGGUAAUACGAAGGGACCUAGCGUAGUUCGGAAUUACUGGGCUUAAAGAGUUCGUAGGUGGUUGAAAAAGUUGGUGGUGAAAUCCCAGAGCUUAACUCUGGAACUGCCAUCAAAACUUUUCAGCUAGAGUAUGAUAGAGGAAAGCAGAAUUUCUAGUGUAGAGGUGAAAUUCGUAGAUAUUAGAAAGAAUACCAAUUGCGAAGGCAGCUUUCUGGAUCAUUACUGACACUGA
This 696-nucleotide ribosomal RNA is filed under the name uncultured bacterium. RNAcentral's name for it is "bacterial SSU rRNA". It matches the Rfam family "Bacterial small subunit ribosomal RNA", at positions 8 to 749 of the family's 1533-position model. The record is from RNAcentral.